GCCCGGGUGGUGAAACAGGUAGACGCAGGGGACUCAAAAUCCCCCGCCGGAAGGCGUGUCGGUUCGAGUCCGACCCCGGGCACCA
This 85-nucleotide transfer RNA is filed under the name Cupriavidus neocaledonicus. RNAcentral's name for it is "tRNA-Leu". It matches the Rfam family "tRNA". From Rfam's summary of the family: Transfer RNA (tRNA) molecules are approximately 80 nucleotides in length. Their secondary structure includes four short double-helical elements and three loops (D, anti-codon, and T loops). The record is from RNAcentral. Lineage: Bacteria; Pseudomonadati; Pseudomonadota; Betaproteobacteria; Burkholderiales; Burkholderiaceae.